RNAcentral lists this ribosomal RNA (352 nucleotides) under uncultured bacterium. Its description in RNAcentral is "bacterial SSU rRNA". It matches the Rfam family "Bacterial small subunit ribosomal RNA", at positions 527 to 881 of the family's 1533-position model. The record is from RNAcentral.
GGAAGGUCCGGGCGUUAUCCGGAUUUAUUGGGUUUAAAGGGAGCGUAGGCCGGAGAUUAAGCGUGUUGUGAAAUGUAGUGGCUCAACCUCUGCACUGCAGCGCGAACUAGUUUCCUUGAGUACGCACAAAGUGGGCGGAAUUCGUGGUGUAGCGGUGAAAUGCUUAGAUAUCACGAAGAACUCCGAUUGCGAAGGCAGCUCACUGGAGCGCAACUGACGCUUAUNCUCGAAAGUGCGGGUAUCGAACAGGAUUAGAUACCCUGGUAGUCCGCACGGUAAACGAUGGAUGCCCGCUGUUGGUCUGAAUAGGUCAGCGGCCAAGCGAAAGCAUUAAGCAUCCCACCUGGGGAGU